RNAcentral lists this ribosomal RNA (492 nucleotides) under uncultured bacterium. RNAcentral's name for it is "partial 16S ribosomal RNA". It matches the Rfam family "Bacterial small subunit ribosomal RNA", at positions 29 to 507 of the family's 1533-position model. The record is from RNAcentral.
AGUGAACGCUGGCGGUAGGCCUAACACAUGCAAGUCGAACGGCAGCACAGUAAGAGUUUGCUCUUACGGGUGGCGAGUGGCGGACGGGUGAGGAAUACAUCGGAAUCUACUUUUUCGUGGGGGAUAACGUAGGGAAACUUACGCUAAUACCGCAUACGACCUAUGGGUGAAAGUAGGGGAUCUUCGGACCUUGCGCGAUUGAAUGAGCCGAUGUCGGAUUAGCUAGUUGGCGGGGUAAAGGCCCACCAAGGCGACGAUCCGUAGCUGGUCUGAGAGGAUGAUCAGCCACACUGGAACUGAGACACGGUCCAGACUCCUACGGGAGGCAGCAGUGGGGAAUAUUGGACAAUGGGCGCAAGCCUGAUCCAGCCAUACCGCGUGGGUGAAGAAGGCCUUCGGGUUGUAAAGCCCUUUUGUUGGGAAAGAAAAGCAGCAGGUUAAUACCCCGCUGUUCUGACGGUACCCAAAGAAUAAGCACCGGCUAACUUCGUG